CACGUAGGGUGCGAGCGUUGUCCGGAAUUAUUGGGCGUAAAGAGCUCGUAGGCGGUGUGUCGCGUCGGCCGUGAAAACCUGCAGCUUAACUGUGGGCUUGCGGUCGAUACGGGCAUCACUGGAGUUCGGCAGGGGAGACUGGAACUCCUGGUGUAGCGGUGAAAUGCGCAGAUAUCAGGAGGAACACCGGUGGCGAAGGCGGGUCUCUGGGCCGAUACUGACGCUGAGGAGCGAAAGCGUGGGGAGCGAACAGG
This 254-nucleotide ribosomal RNA is filed under the name uncultured bacterium. RNAcentral's name for it is "partial 16S ribosomal RNA". It matches the Rfam family "Bacterial small subunit ribosomal RNA", at positions 524 to 776 of the family's 1533-position model. The record is from RNAcentral.